UGAGGAAUAUUGGUCAAUGGGCGAGAGUUGAACCAGCCAAGUAGCGUGCAGGAUGACGGCCCUCCGGNUUGUAAACUGCUUUUAGUUGGGAAUAAAAAAAGGGACUUGUCCCUUCUUGUAUGUACCUUCAGAAAAAGGACCGGCUAAUUCCGUGCCAGCAGCCGCGGUAAUACGGAAGGUCCAGGCGUUAUCCGGAUUUAUUGGGUUUAAAGGGAGCGUAGNGGAUUGUUAAGUCAGCAGUUAAAGGGUGUGGCUCAACCAUGCAUUGCCGUUGAAACUGGCGACCUUGAGUGCAGACAGGGAUGCCGGAAUUCGUGGUGUAGCGGUGAAAUGCUUAGAUAUCACGAAGAACUCCGAUCGCGAAGGNNGGUGUCCGGGCUGCAACUGACGCUGAGGCUCGAAAGUGUGGGUAUCAAACAGGAUUAGAUACCCUGGUAGUCCACACAGUAAACGAUGUAUACUCGCGGUUUGCGAUAGAUUGUAAGCCNGCCAAGCGAAAGCNUUUAAGUAUACCANCUGGGGAGUACGCCGGGCAACNGUG
Molecule: ribosomal RNA, 541 nt
Filed under: uncultured bacterium
Lineage: Bacteria
Description: bacterial SSU rRNA
Rfam family: Bacterial small subunit ribosomal RNA
Source: RNAcentral